This 403-nucleotide ribosomal RNA is filed under the name uncultured bacterium. RNAcentral's name for it is "bacterial SSU rRNA". It matches the Rfam family "Bacterial small subunit ribosomal RNA", at positions 976 to 1380 of the family's 1533-position model. The record is from RNAcentral.
AAGUCUUGACAUCCCGGUGACGGUACCGUAACGGGUACUUCUCUUCGGAGCAGCGGAGACAGGUGGUGCAUGGUUGUCGUCAGCUCGUGUCGUGAGAUGUUGGGUUAAGUCCCGCAACGAGCGCAACCCUUAUCCUUAGUAGCCAGCAGUAAGAUGGGCACUCUAAGGAGACUGCCGGGGAUAACCCGGAGGAAGGUGGGGAUGACGUCAAAUCAUCAUGCCCCUUAUGAUUUGGGCUACACACGUGCUACAAUGGCGUAAACAAAGUGAAGCAGAGCCGUAAGGCCGAGCAAACCACAAAAAUAACGUCUCAGUUCGGAUUGUAGUCUGCAACUCGACUACAUGAAGCUGGAAUCGCUAGUAAUCGCAGAUCAGAAUGCUGCGGUGAAUACGUUCCCGGGUC